This is a long non-coding RNA of Uranotaenia lowii, 375 nucleotides long. RefSeq lists it as uncharacterized. NCBI's taxonomy places the organism in Eukaryota, Metazoa, Arthropoda, Insecta, Diptera, Culicidae. The record is from RefSeq and is a predicted model, not a curated record. The transcript has 3 exons.
ACGAAUUCAAGAGACAUUUUAGUGUGGCUCGACUGUUUCGGAAAAAGAAUCGUUCCAUGGAUUGUGUGCCAUACAAUCAAGCCCGGAUAAAGCUACCACAUCCACUGAUACAUAAAUGCAGCAUUUGUUAAGGAACUUGGAUUUGGCUGCCGACAGAUGAUUCUUACGCAGACUCCUCUACAAAACACCGUAAAUGACUGUUGGUUUGGUCUCAGAAAUCGACAGUUAUCGUUUGCCUGAAUACACCAAAUUGAGAUACUUGACACUUUUUGGCCAACGAAAAUCAAACAGGAGCUUAGCUACAGAGACGUAUCUUUCCAGCUGAUCAAACAGUUUGAUCUGUCGCAAUGCAUCGAACGGGCGCUACGGGCAACA